RNAcentral lists this ribosomal RNA (526 nucleotides) under Salinicoccus marinus. RNAcentral describes it as "bacterial SSU rRNA". It matches the Rfam family "Bacterial small subunit ribosomal RNA", at positions 64 to 571 of the family's 1533-position model. The record is from RNAcentral. Lineage: Bacteria; Bacillati; Bacillota; Bacilli; Caryophanales; Staphylococcaceae.
GAACGCGCGGAUCAGGAGCUUGCUCCUGUGACGCGAGUGGCGGACGGGUGAGUAACACGUAGGCAACCUGCCCAUCAGACUGGGAUAACCACGGGAAACCGUGGCUAAUACCGGAUAAUCCUUUCCCACACAAGUGGGGGAGUUGAAAGGCGGCUUCGGCUGUCACUGAUGGAUGGGCCUGCGGCGCAUUAGCUGGUUGGUGGGGUAACGGCCCACCAAGGCGACGAUGCGUAGCCGACCUGAGAGGGUGAUCGGCCACACUGGGACUGAGACACGGCCCAGACUCCUACGGGAGGCAGCAGUAGGGAAUCUUCCGCAAUGGACGAAAGUCUGACGGAGCAACGCCGCGUGAGUGAAGAAGGGUUUCGGCUCGUAAAACUCUGUUGUCAGGGAAGAAUGCCGACGGGAGUAACUGCCCGUCGGGUGACGGUACCUGACCAGAAAGCCACGGCUAACUACGUGCCAGCAGCCGCGGUAAUACGUAGGUGGCAAGCGUUAUCCGAAAUUAUUGGGCGUAAAGCGCGCG